Molecule: long non-coding RNA, 2354 nt
Organism: Empidonax traillii (willow flycatcher)
Lineage: Eukaryota; Metazoa; Chordata; Aves; Passeriformes; Tyrannidae
Exons: 2
Source: RefSeq, a predicted model, not a curated record
GCCCAGCUCCCUGCUCCUGCGUCUGCAUUGCUUCUGGACUGUGCCAGCAUGAACAUUUGUGAAAUCAAGCAAUAAAUGAGACUGAACUGAGAAGACUAGAGAACAACCUGCUUUCCUUCCGUUUUGCUGACCUAGUUCACCAGAGUAAUAAAUGUGUCAGCAUGAUACUGGGGAUAGCGCUGAAACAACCAAGAACAGGAACAGCUUAAAUGGUCUUGUUCUGCUGCCGAGGGCAUACCCAUGUGUUGACUUGCUUUGCCGUUUAGGCCCUAUUCAGUGUCUCCUUAAAAACACUAUUGACACACCUACCACCUCCAAAACUGGAACUCUUCGUCUCAGUGGGUAAUUCUAUUAGUCAUCUUAUCAUGAAUCUUUGGCCUAGGCUGGGCCAUGGCGUUUGUCUCUGACAAGGUUUGGGUUUAUGGCAUUGUACUAUGAUGUGAUGGCAUUUUUUGGUUUCUCUUCACUGAAUGUUUCAUGAAUCCAUUUUUGACAUGUCUGAGAAAUCAUUUUUGUUUGCAUAUUUAUGGAUAUCUUAAUUCCUUUUUUCAACAGUGAAAACCUAAUAAUCUUUAUACAUGUGACUGCAUUGCAGCUAUUGCUGGUUUCUCUUUCUCUGGAGUUUGAUCUGUGACCUGUGUAAGUCAUCUUGCAAAACAAUAUGCAUAAGGGGUGUAAUCCACAGACUGUAUACUGAAUUCAUCCCUCAGACAGCCAGUUAUGUCCUGCUGAAAAAUGAGGUCUUGAAGCCAACUAAAUAGGCCUUUUAACGCAAAAUGGAAAGCGUCACAAACUAACCUUAUCAAAAGAUGCAUUGUGCUCCAUAGAGACGGUUUCAGAUGAUAUGAGAUUAUUAUCCAAAGCCUUGGAAAGCUCUCUGAAUUCACAUCCUUUCUGUGCAUUGUGUUUGCUUAGAGGAUGCGAUAAACGUUGUCACUAUGUUACACAAGAGCGUACAAUAAUAACUGGGGCUGGCUGGGAAGUGAAAUUUUUAUUCUACAGGAAAUUCCAGCUUGUCAAUAUUUUGUUUCAUGAAGUGCUGGAACAAAACAUGUUGGCUCUGCAGCCUUUUUGGCAAGAAAUAAAACAAUCUAUUUCUUUGCCAGCUGACAAGCCUGGGAAGCCAAGAAACCAACUGAGCAGUCGGCCUGAUGCCAGGGAGCUGGAUAGCCAGUCAACUGAGCUACAGUAAGAAGCCAGCUUGGCCAGCAGCCACAGCCAGAUCACGGCUAAAGCUUCUGUAGAAAGUUUUGAUGGAACCAGGACAAUUCAGAAUUUUCAGUGCCAGUCUGUUCAAUUAGAAGAUGGUUAAACAAACCCUCUUAAUAAUCAACUACUGUCAGUAAAGGAUGUAACUGUGCUGCAAUUUGUGUUCCUUAUGGAUUUCUUCAGCUUUUGCCUUAUGUUAUACACCCUAUACACUUCUCUUGUUUGCUUCCAAGUAGUUGCUGCAUAUGAUUCCUCCUUAAAGCCCAGACAUGUCAAACACCAUCAUCACUACAACUGUGGUAACUCCAGGGAACAAUAAUUUCCUUGUAAAUGUUUAGUGGUAAUUAAAUUUUCUGCAACUUCAUCUAUUUAAGUAGUCUCUAACAUUCCUGCUGUGAAAUCGAGGAAAAACAGAUGCUUUACUGAGAUGCAUUUCAGAUCUUGCUCCUUCCACAUAUAAAUAAACCUGACUUAUUUUCUCUCUAAAAUUCAGCUAUUGUGAAGAUGCUACAGGAUCCGGAUUCCAAGUGGAUUUAAUAUCAGUUGUUUGCUUUUCAUUGACCUUUAUAUUCUCUAAGCAUGGCGCAGUUUAUUGCUGUUUUUACAGAGUUUAUUCUUGAACUGGAAGUUGUUUGCAUAGUGAGUAUUUUCCCACAACAAUAAUAGUUAAUUGUACGGUUUAUGGUGCACUUUCUUCUUCACUUCUGCUGGACUUGCUACACAGUUUUUUGUGUGCUGCUGCAACAUAUCUUGAAAUGCACUCUUCAUCCCAAAUGAAGUAACUUGAGCAUAUGUUUAAGGUUUAAGUUAGUCUCAAUAUGAUAAUUUGGCUUGCCUGGUUUUAUAUUCCACACACAAAAAACUGUGUGUCAUUUAAGUCUUUUGAUUCUUAAUUUCCUCAGCAUUGCCACAUACUCAGAGAUUAUUUCAGUUCCCCUCUGAUUCAGUCUAUAAUAUAAAUGCUCUAUAAACAUGAGAACACUUCAAUUACAGUGUUAUUUUCUUUUUCCAUCAUAAUAUUGACUGGAAACUACCAAAUGCUUAUACAUCUUGGUGAUACCUUUUCAACCAAGUAAGAGUAUUAACAGCUUCUCCCAAAUUUCCUUUUCAGUUCUCUCUCUCUCAGAAACAACAACAAAAACAAC